GAUAAACGCUGGCGGCGUGCAUAACACAUGCAAGUCGAACGAUGAAGAUUGAUAGAUUUCUUCGGAAUGACAUUAAUUGGAUUAGUGGCGGACGGGUGAGUAACGCGUGAGUAACCUGCCUUACACAAGGGGAUAGCCGUUGGAAACGACGAAUAAUACCCUAUGAUAUGAUAGCCUUGCAUGAAGCUAUCAUCAAAGAUUUAUCGGUGUAAGAUGGACUCGCGUCUGAUUAGCUAGUUGGUGGGGUAAAAGCCUACCAAGGCAACGAUCAGUAGCCGGCUUGAGAGAGUGUACGGCCACAUUGGGACUGAGACACGGCCCAGACUCCUACGGGAGGCAGCAGUGGGGAAUUUUGCACAAUGGGGGCAACCCUGAUGCAGCGACGCCGCGUGAUUUAGAAGGCCUUCGGGUUGUAAAAAUCUUUUGUAUGGGAAGAAAAUGACAGUACCAUACGAAUAAGGACCGGCUAAUUACGUGCCAGCCGCCGCAGUAACAC
RNAcentral lists this ribosomal RNA (496 nucleotides) under uncultured bacterium. RNAcentral's name for it is "bacterial SSU rRNA". It matches the Rfam family "Bacterial small subunit ribosomal RNA", at positions 28 to 526 of the family's 1533-position model. The record is from RNAcentral.